GAAAUAUGGAACCCGGGGGUAAGCUUCUAACUUAAACCCUAAGCAGUGAAAAUCUGUUUAUAUUUCU
This 67-nucleotide transfer RNA is filed under the name Cucujus clavipes (red flat bark beetle). RNAcentral's name for it is "tRNA-Ser". Lineage: Eukaryota; Metazoa; Arthropoda; Insecta; Coleoptera; Cucujidae. The record is from RNAcentral.